Molecule: non-coding RNA, 114 nt
Filed under: Bacillus glycinifermentans
Lineage: Bacteria; Bacillati; Bacillota; Bacilli; Caryophanales; Bacillaceae
Description: SAM-I sequence
Rfam family: SAM riboswitch aptamer (S box leader)
About the family: The SAM riboswitch is found upstream of a number of genes which code for proteins involved in methionine or cysteine biosynthesis in Gram-positive bacteria.
Source: RNAcentral
UUCUUAUCAAGAGAGGCAGAGGGACUGGCCCGAUGAAGCCUCAGCAACCGGUGUAAUGAUUGUUUCAUGACCAAGGUGCUAAAUCCAGCAAGCAGACUGCUUGGAAGAUAAGAA